GGGGUUAUAGCUCAAUUGGGGGAGCAAUUGUUUUGCAAACAAAAGGUCGUGGGUUCGAAUCCCAUUAACUCCA
RNAcentral lists this transfer RNA (73 nucleotides) under Ignavibacteria bacterium. RNAcentral's name for it is "tRNA-Ala". It matches the Rfam family "tRNA". Rfam says of the family: Transfer RNA (tRNA) molecules are approximately 80 nucleotides in length. Their secondary structure includes four short double-helical elements and three loops (D, anti-codon, and T loops). Lineage: Bacteria; Pseudomonadati; Ignavibacteriota; Ignavibacteria. The record is from RNAcentral.